This 665-nucleotide long non-coding RNA is filed under the name Helianthus annuus (common sunflower). RNAcentral's name for it is "hypothetical non coding rna". Lineage: Eukaryota; Viridiplantae; Streptophyta; Magnoliopsida; Asterales; Asteraceae. The record is from RNAcentral.
UAUAAACACCAAAAGCAUCUCAAAAAUCAUAACUUUUCCUCCACGGCACCGGGUAUUUCAAGGCGCUUAGAUGAAAAUUUAUGAAUCUUUAAAUUCUUACGGUUUUUCAAGAAACAAGAAAACCAAAAGGAUUAUAGAUGCCCGAAGGGUUUGAUAUCAGGGAACAAAGCUUUCCAGAACUCAACAUCAGUAUUGGGUGGUUCAGCCACUUUAGAAGCCCAAGAAACCAACAUAAUAGCUGAUCCAGCAGCAAGAGACAAAGUAGAAGUCAACCAAGGCUUCAGUAUUCUCCACAACAUCCCCACCAGCUUCAUAUGCCUUACAAGAUUCAAACUUUCUCAAUGGCCCAAAAGAUUGAAGUGAAGAAACAUGCAAAGGUUUUGAAUUUGUAACAAUUGAGAGUUUCUUGAUUUUGGGUGUGGAAAAAAUGAGGGAUUUUGUUGGAGAAUUUGUUCUGUGAUCGGUGAUUUUGGAACUGCAUUUAGGGGUUGUUGAAAUUGCUUGCUUCAAUGAGAUGAUCAUAUUGAAUAUUUGAAUGUGUGAUGAUGAUGAUGAUGAUAUCAAAAUUGGUUUUUGUGAAAGAACAAAUCGAUUUGAUGUAAUUUGAUACUCCUUUGCACUUUGCAGUUCUUUUUCUUGAAGAAUAAUAAUAAUUUUGAAAUUUG